CCAGACUUGCUUCUCUCUAAGAAUGUGGCGUAUCAAUGAGACACAUUGUUUUAAAAACGGGCGUUUUUCUUCGCUCGUAAUAAAUCCCUUCAGGAAUUAAAACGAUUCAGCAUGAUAUUGAACCGGUUUCCCAGAUUGUAUAAUUUAGUCAACAUUCAAACUCUGCGUGGAUUAGUUUCCCACCGAAAAGUGGUCAAACAACCUUAGUCGUUGGUGGCAUCUUCACGCGGUGAAACUUUCAUCCAGCUUCCUCAGUGUCUUGUUGACCAUCAAAAUGAACCAACCUCGAAGGUUCCAUCCGGUUGGUUCUAUUUGUGGCGGUUUUGCUGCAGUUGUUGUUACCAUUGGUGCUAUAGUGAAAUGUUGGUUGAAGUUUUCAGUGGUUUCAGGGUAGUUAGUAAAGCUUUGCUAAACUGAUUGUAGACGACGAUGCUGUUCGAAGUCCGGUUUUGGUUGCACUUUUGAUCAUGUGGCUAAUGUUCUCGAUUCUUCUAAUUGCUGGUAUCAAAAAGAAGAACCCAUCGUACCUGCUAGCUAGCCGUAUGUUGCUGAUUGCAUUCAGUUGGAUAAGCUUGAUUGUCAUAAUUGGCAUAAUGGUUCAAGUUGUGGGCAAUCACAAAAACCACAAGUUUGGCCUGAAAGUGCGUCUUCUUUUAGCAUUUCUAGUGAAUUGCUCUUUUGGAGGAAUCUUCGCCUUAAGUCUGUGGAUAGUCAACGUUGUUAUACAAUAUAUUGUAGACCUGCAGCCAAAACCAUUGAGUCAACAACCAUUGAUGUUGAAAAACGAGGUAGUUUUUCCUCAAAGGAAGUAUUAAGUUUAUCAUAUUUGUCGAUGCUUUUCGAAAAAACUUAAUUUUAAUGAGUUUAACUAUUCCAUCUGUGAAUAUCCCUUACACGAAAUCGGGAAAAGUUGCCCCGACCCCUCUUCGAUUUUCGCGAAACUUUACCCUAAGGGUUAACUGUUGUCCACUUUUGCGUUCCUCACGCGCUCACGCGCUCAUGAGCGCUCACUUUUCGCUCAUUCGUGAGGAGGAGCGCUGCGCGAGCUAGCUCACGUUUGCCCGCGCUCACGUUUGCUCCGAUUUUUUCAGCUCGCGUUUGCUCCACGCUCGCGCUCGCGCUCAUAUUUCGCUCACGGAGCGCUCAUUUUGGACGUAUCGCUAAUCAUUUAACGUUUUUGAGAAAGUUUUUUUUUUUAAUUCUAGAUGGAUUUUUUGCGUAAGGUGCAGUAGGGCUGUGGAAAUAUGACUUUGUGAACAAAUUUUAUGAUAUAUGAAUUGGAAUAGCUUAUUUUCAUCAAUCAUGUUUUUAAAUAAAGGCCUUACUGUAGCAGAGAGGGGCGGAGGGGUAUAGACGCCUAAAUAAAAGGGCCUGUUAAUCUUAGAGUAGGAGUAGGAAUCUCGUAAUCGAGAACGCCAAGGCAAUGCUGUAGAGCGAAUGAUUUGAUUUUUUUUUUUGAAACCUUAGAAAAACUUACAAAACAAUGAAUGGAUUCAAGAGGAUUUAUGCUUUGGUAAGUUCGAUUCAAAGUUAAAUGCUUAGUUGAUUAAAAUAUAACAUUAAACUGUUUUUAUGUACCUAAUCAGUGUUUUGACUACAUUUCCAGAUUGCGGGUCAGAAUGAGCUACCAUUAAAAAAAAUUAUUCCGUUUAUUAAAUCUUUCAGUGAUUCAGUGAUUAGAAACGGCUAAUCAUUUCUAUAAGGUUAGUCUUUAUU
Long non-coding RNA from Culex pipiens pallens (northern house mosquito), 1716 nucleotides. RefSeq lists it as uncharacterized. The record is from RefSeq and is a predicted model, not a curated record. Lineage: Eukaryota; Metazoa; Arthropoda; Insecta; Diptera; Culicidae. The transcript has 3 exons.